RNAcentral lists this transfer-messenger RNA (350 nucleotides) under Eubacteriales bacterium. It matches the Rfam family "transfer-messenger RNA". From Rfam's summary of the family: Bacterial tmRNA, also known as 10Sa RNA or SsrA, is named for its dual tRNA and mRNA-like properties. Its role is to liberate the mRNA from a stalled ribosome. To accomplish this part of the tmRNA is used as a reading frame that ends in a translation stop signal. The record is from RNAcentral. Lineage: Bacteria; Bacillati; Bacillota; Clostridia; Eubacteriales.
GGGGAUGUACCGGUUUCGACGGGGGUGUGGAGGCCGGAUAAGCGGGCGGUGGCGCCUGGCCACCUUAAAACGGGCAAACUUAUAAAUUAAACAACAACACUAAUACUGUUGCUGUCGCUGCUUAAGCAGUGACCGUCUGAACCGGAGAGGCCACAGGCCGGGGAAGGCGUCGUUUAUGUGGCGUCCGUGAGGCAGGUAAGAGUUGCCCUGCCCACGCAUCAUGACUCUACUGAAUCGUGAAGUCUGUUAAGUGCCUUUGCGAGGAGGGAAUCUUUGAAACUUAACUGCGCCCGGAGAAAGUCUUGUUAAAGCGCUUUCGGACAGGGGUUCGACUCCCCUCAUCUCCACCA